Molecule: ribosomal RNA, 520 nt
Filed under: uncultured bacterium
Lineage: Bacteria
Description: partial 16S ribosomal RNA
Rfam family: Bacterial small subunit ribosomal RNA
Source: RNAcentral
UGGGGAAUAUUGGACAAUGGGGGAACCCUGAUCCAGCCAUGCCGCGUGUGUGAAGAAGGCCUUAUGGGUUGUAAAGCACUUUAAGCGAGGAGGAGGCUACUGAGACUAAUACUCUUGGAUAGUGGACGUUACUCGCAGAAUAAGCACCGGCUAACUCUGUGCCAGCAGCCGCGGUAAUACAGAGGGUGCGAGCGUUAAUCGGAUUUACUGGGCGUAAAGCGUGCGUAGGCGGCUUUUAAGUCGGAUGUGAAAUCCCCGAGCUUAACUUGGGAAUUGCAUUCGAUACUGGGAAGCUAGAGUAUGGGAGAGGAUGGUAGAAUUCCAGGUGUAGCGGUGAAAUGCGUAGAGAUCUGGAGGAAUACCGAUGGCGAAGGCAGCCAUCUGGCCUAAUACUGACGCUGAGGUACGAAAGCAUGGGGAGCAAACAGGAUUAGAUACCCUGGUAGUCCAUGCCGUAAACGAUGUCUACUAGCCGUUGGGGCCUUUGAGGCUUUAGUGGCGCAGCUAACGCGAUAAGUAG